GACGAACGCUGGCGGCGUGCUUAACACAUGCAAGUCGAGCGGUAAGGCCCUUUCGGGGGUACGACGAGCGGCGAACGGGUGAGUAACACGUGGGUGACCUGCCCUCAGCUCUGGGAGUAAGCCCGGGAAACUGGGUCUAAUACUGGAUAUGACCCCAUGACGCAUGUUGUGGGGUGGAAAGCCUUGUGCGGCUGAGGAUGGGCCCGCGGCCUAUCAGCUUGUUGGUGGGGGAUGGCCUACCAAGGCGACGACGGGUAGGCCGGCCUGAGAGGGCGGACC
Molecule: ribosomal RNA, 279 nt
Filed under: uncultured bacterium
Lineage: Bacteria
Description: partial 16S ribosomal RNA
Rfam family: Bacterial small subunit ribosomal RNA
Source: RNAcentral